GGGUCAGUAGGUUGGUCGUGCCACCGGUACGUACUGGUCUCACUGAUUCCUCCUUCCUGAAGAACCGUAAUGCCAUUAAUUUGGUGUUGCGGGGAAACAGGACUGUUACUUUGAAAAAAUUAGAGUGUUUAAAGCAAGCUAACGCUUGAGUACAUUAGCAUGGAAGAAUGAAAUAGGACGAUCGAUCCUAUUUUGUUGGUUUCUAGGAUUGACGUA
This 216-nucleotide ribosomal RNA is filed under the name Glomeromycotina sp. RNAcentral describes it as "partial small subunit ribosomal RNA". The stretch from base 40 to 216 matches the Rfam family "Eukaryotic small subunit ribosomal RNA", at positions 686 to 864 of the family's 1831-position model. The record is from RNAcentral. Lineage: Eukaryota; Fungi; Glomeromycota.